This 77-nucleotide transfer RNA is filed under the name Salibacterium qingdaonense. RNAcentral's name for it is "tRNA_Arg_TCT". It matches the Rfam family "tRNA". From Rfam's summary of the family: Transfer RNA (tRNA) molecules are approximately 80 nucleotides in length. Their secondary structure includes four short double-helical elements and three loops (D, anti-codon, and T loops). RNAcentral also lists the same sequence under 1 other name. Lineage: Bacteria; Bacillati; Bacillota; Bacilli; Caryophanales; Bacillaceae. The record is from RNAcentral.
GUCCCAGUAGCUCAGUAGGAUAGAGCAACGGCCUUCUAAGCCGUAGGUCGCAGGUUCGAAUCCUGCCUGGGACACCA